Molecule: ribosomal RNA, 109 nt
Filed under: Anteaglonium globosum
Lineage: Eukaryota; Fungi; Ascomycota; Dothideomycetes; Pleosporales; Anteagloniaceae
Description: partial large subunit ribosomal RNA
Source: RNAcentral
GAGGGUGCUUUGGCGUCGGCAGCGGCCUAAGUUCCUUGGAACAGGGCGUCACAGAGGGUGAGAACCCCGUACGUGGCCGCCCGCCUUCGCCGUGUAAAGCCCCUUCGAC